GACGAACGCUGGCGGCGUGCCUAAUACAUGCAAGUCGAACGGAAAGGCCCUGUUCUUGCGGGGUGCUCGCGUGGCGAAAGCGUGAGUAUCACGCGUGUAUCCUGUCCUCGACUUUGGGAUAUCUCCAGGAAACUGGGGCUCAUAACCGAUAGGAGCCCCUGCUGCACGGUGGGGGUUGGAAAGAUUAGGCGGUUGGGGAUGGUCUCGCGGCUUACCAGCUUGUUGGUGGGGUAGUGGCUUACCAAGGCUUUGCCUGGUAGCCGGCCUGAGAAGGUGGCCGGCGACAUUGGGACUGAGAUACGGCCCAGACUGCAACGGGAGGCAAUGGUGGGGAGUAUUACACAGUAGGCGGAAGCCUGAGGCAGCGGCGCCGCGUGCGGGAUGACGGCCUUCGGGUGAUGAACCACUGUCGCCUGUGACGAAACGUGAGUGACGGUAAUGAGUAAAAAAGCACCGGCUAACUACGUG
Molecule: ribosomal RNA, 468 nt
Filed under: uncultured bacterium
Lineage: Bacteria
Description: partial 16S ribosomal RNA
Rfam family: Bacterial small subunit ribosomal RNA
Source: RNAcentral